CACGUAGGCGGAUCGUUAAGUCGGGGGUGAAAUCCUGGAGCUCAACUCCAGAACUGCCUUCGAUACUGGCGAUCUUCGAGUCCGGGAGAGGUGAGUGGAACUCCGAGUGUAGAGGUGAAAUUCGUAGAUAUUCGGAAGAACACCAGUGGCGAAGGCGGCUCACUGGCCCGGUACUGACGCUGAGGUGCGAAAGCGUGGGGAGCAAACA
This 208-nucleotide ribosomal RNA is filed under the name uncultured bacterium. RNAcentral's name for it is "partial 16S ribosomal RNA". It matches the Rfam family "Bacterial small subunit ribosomal RNA", at positions 568 to 774 of the family's 1533-position model. The record is from RNAcentral.